AGAGUUUGAUCCUGGCUCAGGAUGAACGCUGGCGGCGUGCUUAACACAUGCAAGUCGAGCGAAGCACUUAAGUCUGAUUCUUCGGAUGAAGACUUUUGUGACUGAGCGGCGGACGGGUGAGUAACGCGUGGGUAACCUGCCUCAUACAGGGGGAUAACAGUUAGAAAUGACUGCUAAUACCGCAUAAGACCACGGUACCGCAUGGUACAGUGGUAAAAACUCCGGUGGUAUGAGAUGGACCCGCGUCUGAUUAGGUAGUUGGUGGGGUAACGGCCUACCAAGCCGACGAUCAGUAGCCGACCUGAGAGGGUGACCGGCCACAUUGGGACUGAGACACGGCCCAGACUCCUACGGGAGGCAGCAGUGGGGAAUAUUGCACAAUGGAGGAAACUCUGAUGCAGCGACGCCGCGUGAAGGAUGAAGUAUUUCGGUAUGUAAACUUCUAUCAGCAGGGAAGAAAAUGACGGUACCUGACUAAGAAGCCCCGGCUAACUACGUGCCAGCAGCCGCGGUAAUACGUAGGGGGCAAGCGUUAUCCGGAUUUACUGGGUGUAAAGGGAGCGUAGACGGCACGGCAAGCCAGAUGUGAAAGCCCGGGGCUCAACCCCGGGACUGCAUUUGGAACUGCUGAGCUAGAGUGUCGGAGAGGCAAGUGGAAUUCCCAGUGUAGCGGUGAAAUGCGUAGAUAUUAGGAGGAACACCAGUGGCGAAGGCGGCUUGCUGGACGAUGACUGACGUUGAGGCUCGAAAGCGUGGGGAGCAAACCAGGAUUAGAUACCCUGGUAGUCCACGCCGUAAACGAUGA
This 805-nucleotide ribosomal RNA is filed under the name uncultured bacterium. RNAcentral's name for it is "bacterial SSU rRNA". It matches the Rfam family "Bacterial small subunit ribosomal RNA", at positions 8 to 812 of the family's 1533-position model. The record is from RNAcentral.